AUGGACAGCCAGGGCAGGAAGGUGGUGGUGUGUGACAAUGGCACUGGGUUUGUGAAGUGUGGAUAUGCAGGCUCUAACUUUCCAGAACACAUCUUCCCACCUUUGUUUGGAAGACCUAUUAUCAGAUCAACCACCAAUGUGGGAAACAUUGAAAUCAAGGAUCUCAUGGUUGGCGAUGAGGCAAGUGAGCUGUGCUCCAUGUUGGAAAUGAACUACCCAAUGGAGAAUGGCAUCGUGCAGAACUGGGAUGACAUGAAGCACCUGUGGGACUACACAUUUGGACCAGAGAAACUCAAUAUAGACACCAGAAACUGCAAAAUUGUACUUACAGAACCUCCCAUGAAUCCAAUCGAAAACAGAGAGAAGAUUGUGAAACUUAACCAGUUUUCUGGUGUAUAUGUAGCCAUCCAAACAGUUCUGACUUUGUAUGCUCAAGGUUUACUGACUGGUGUGGUAAUGGACUCUGGAGAUGGUGUCACUCACAUUUGCCCAGUAUAUAAAGGCUGUUCCCUCCCUCACCUUACAAGGAGGCUGGAUAUUGCUGGGAGGGAUAUUACCAGGUAUCUUAUCAAGCUGCUGCUGUUGCGAGGAUAUGCAUUCAACCAUUCUGCUGAUUGAGACAGUUCUCAUGAUUAAAGAAAAACUUUGUUAUGUGGGUUAAAAUAUUGAACAAGAGCAGAAGCUGGCCUUAGACACAACAGUGCUAGUUGAGUCAUAUACUCUUCCAGAUGGACAUAUUAUUAAGGUUGGAGGAGAAAAAUUUGAAGCACCAGAAGCUUUAUUUCAGCCUCAUUUGAUCAAUGUUGAGGGGGUUGGUGUUGCUGAAUUGCUUUUUAACACAAUCCAGGCAGCCGACAUUGAUACCAGAUCUGAAUUUUACAAGCACAUUGUGCUUUUUGGAGGUUCUACCAUGUAUCCUGGCCAGCCAUUGAGGUUGGAACGAGCUUAA
Rattus rattus (black rat) is the source of this 949-nucleotide RNA transcript. It is a transcript of the gene named actin-related protein 2-like, with no coding region annotated. The record is from RefSeq and is a predicted model, not a curated record. The transcript has a single exon. NCBI's taxonomy places the organism in Eukaryota, Metazoa, Chordata, Mammalia, Rodentia, Muridae.